RNAcentral lists this long non-coding RNA (902 nucleotides) under Marmota monax (woodchuck). The record is from RNAcentral. Lineage: Eukaryota; Metazoa; Chordata; Mammalia; Rodentia; Sciuridae.
AUUAACUGUGAAAUCAAAACUAAAAUUGUGUGAUUUUUUUGUAUUCUCAGUGAAUAAAACUGGUCAUUGUACACUUUCAAAUCAUAACAUUACUUCUCAGUUAAAAGACAUACAGAAAUGAUGCAGAUACCAAUGCCAUGACAAUAAAUUGGGACUAAAGAAACUUCUUCCAUCAAUUGACAAAUGUACAAUUAUGUUUUAACCAUACUACUAUUGAGUAAAACUAAUUUUUUUAAAUUAUUUAAAGUUACAUGGGUAGUAAUUAAGAUAUUUUAAAAAUUAUUUUAAAAGGGGUACAUUUUUAUAUCUCAGCAAUAAUCCUUUAUUUGUUGGGGAACCUAAUUGGAAUAGAAGACAGAUAUGAAACAAAUAUUCAUGUGUGUGCUUUCAUAUGUUUUUCUCUUCAAUUUUUUACAUUGAAAAAUUUCUAACCAUAGAAAAUUUAAGAGUAGUCAUUAUUAAUAUUCACAUACAUUCCACUCAUAUUCAUUAGCAUUUUGCAAUCUUUGAUUGCUGAGCCAUUUAAAAACAAGUUGUAGAUAUUAUCACUUAUCAAUUCCCUAAGUCUUUGGAAUGCAUUUCCUAAGAAUGAGGAUAUAUUCUUGUAUAGCUAUAAUAUAAUGAUUAUAUCAAAACAUUUAACAAUGAUGCCAUAAAGUUUUUGUAUUAAUAAUAAUUUUAUAUCAUUUUCAAAUUUUCCCAGUAAGAUCUUUUAUGAGCUUUUGUUUGUAUAUUUAUUUAUUACUUUUUUAGCUAGUGUCCAAUAAACAUUGUGUGUAGAAUUUAAUUGUCAGGUCUCUUUAGUCUUCUGAAAUCUAGAACAGUCUUCUGGCAUUGUUUUCCUUCGUGACAUUGAGAUUUUGAAGACUACCUACAUGUUAGUUAUUUUGAAAAAUAUUCCC